Long non-coding RNA from Frankliniella occidentalis (western flower thrips), 553 nucleotides. RefSeq lists it as uncharacterized. The transcript has 4 exons. The record is from RefSeq and is a predicted model, not a curated record. NCBI's taxonomy places the organism in Eukaryota, Metazoa, Arthropoda, Insecta, Thysanoptera, Thripidae.
ACCAGGACGCCCCGCCCGACCAACAAGGACCAAAGUGUCAGAUAACUCGACCUUGAGGAGAAAUACCGGUGGUAACAGAGGAGUCGCCGUGACGUCAGCGCCAGCGCCGUGCUUGCCACGCGCUACUCCGCGCUGCAGAGACACUCCCGACUCCCGUUCCCGCCGCGGCGCUACCCCGGCCGGCCGACUACCUCCUGCAGCUCCGCAAUCAGCAGCAUGGACUUGGAGUGCGACAUCUGCACCGAGCGCUUCGACGGCGCCGAGCGGCUGCCCAAGGUCCUGCCGUGCAGGCACACGGCUUGCCUGCAGUGCCUGCGCCAGGUGCCCGACAGCAGCUGCGCGGAGUGCCGCCGGGACUUCAACGGCCCGCCGGACGGACCCACCACUAACUUCUUGGUGCUGAAGUCGUUGGAGGGAGUCAGGCUGGCCAGCACUCCCCGCUGCUGGUGCUCGGACUGCCGCACAUCCCCGUCGCCCCGCUGCUGGGAUGAGGACCACGACGUCCUACCCGUCAAGAGAGCCCUGCGGCGCCAGCUUCAGGACGCGCUGCCGC